Molecule: ribosomal RNA, 253 nt
Filed under: uncultured bacterium
Lineage: Bacteria
Description: partial 16S ribosomal RNA
Rfam family: Bacterial small subunit ribosomal RNA
Source: RNAcentral
UACGGAGGGUGCAAGCGUUAUCCGGAUUCACUGGGCUUAAAGGGUGCGUAGGCGGCUUAGUAAGUCAGUGGUGAAAUCUCCGGGCUUAACCCGGAAACUGCCAUUGAUACUAUUAGUCUUGAAUACCGUGGAGGUCAGCGGAAUAUGUCAUGUAGCGGUGAAAUGCUUAGAUAUGACAUAGAACACCAAUUGCGAAGGCAGCUGGCUACACGAAUAUUGACACUCAGGCACGAAAGCGUGGGGAUCAAACAGG